UUGAAUAAACUUGGUUGGGUUGUGCUGGCUUUUCGGAGCAUGUGCACGCCUAGCGCCAUUUUUACCACCUGUGCACAUUUUGUAGAUUUGGAACAAUUCUCGAGUUUACUCGGUUUGAGGAAUGCUAUGCCAAAAGCUUAGCUUUCCUUGUGUUUCAAGUCUAUGUUUUUAUAUACCCCAUACGAAUGUAAUAGAAUGUCAUUAAUGGGCUUAUAGCCUUUAAAUUAAUA
This 230-nucleotide unclassified non-coding RNA is filed under the name uncultured Lepista. RNAcentral describes it as "sequence contains ITS1". The record is from RNAcentral. Lineage: Eukaryota; Fungi; Basidiomycota; Agaricomycetes; Agaricales; Tricholomataceae.